Molecule: ribosomal RNA, 254 nt
Filed under: uncultured bacterium
Lineage: Bacteria
Description: partial 16S ribosomal RNA
Rfam family: Bacterial small subunit ribosomal RNA
Source: RNAcentral
UACGUAGGGGCCUAGCGUUGUCCGGAAUUAUUGGGCGUAAAGAGCUCGUAGGCGGUUCGGCAAGUCGGAUGUGAAAUCUCCACGCUCAACGUGGAGGGGCCAUUCGAAACUGCCGUGACUCGAGUCCGGUAGGGGAGUGUGGAAUUCCCGGUGUAGCGGUGAAAUGCGCAGAUAUCAGGAAGAACACCUAUGGCGAAGGCAGCACUCUGGGACGGUACUGACGCUGAGACGCGAAAGCGUGGGGAGCGAACAGG